Carassius carassius (crucian carp) is the source of this 352-nucleotide long non-coding RNA. RefSeq lists it as uncharacterized. Lineage: Eukaryota; Metazoa; Chordata; Actinopteri; Cypriniformes; Cyprinidae. The transcript has 3 exons. The record is from RefSeq and is a predicted model, not a curated record.
CCAAGUGGAUUAGGGACAACAAUUGGACCAUCGAUCAGAUCCUCGAAGAGUUCCCUCGCUUAAUGACCAAAGGCAUGAUUGCACGGGACUUUCUUGUCCUACAUGGGGAUGCUGCAUCAAAGUUGUCUGAAACUUGGCUACCCAUUUAUGCUGAGAAGAUCCUGUACCUGGCAAGACAGGAGGGGAAGUUGACAUUGCCCCGGAUGGAUUAACACCAGAUGGUGUUGGGGAACUCGCCCUGAGGCAGUUGCCAGCCUUGCUUCUACCUACAAUUUACAAAGUUGGCAGUGGCCACGGUGUGAAAGUAGUUUGCCUCACCAUACAGGAAUGCAGCCUGGCCUUCAUCAACCAU